CAGUGUCCCUGAGCUGGGUUCAGUCGUCCCCCCCAACCCCUGCAGCCGGCAGGUGUUUCCUGAUAGUCCCGGUUCACCACUGCGGAUUGAGGCGCCGAUUCGAGCCGCGAUUCCUGCCUCAGUCCUCUUCCCCCACCAAGGAUGGUUCCCGUCUCUCGAAAUUGGUGGGGUUGGACUUUAUCUCUUUUUGCUUUGAGGAUCUACAGUGUGUAAGCUCGCGCUGGCCUGCAAAAGAAUCUUGCAGAGCGCCAUGUGCUAGAGGAUGGGCGAAUGAGAGCUUGGAGAUGCCUGAGGUAUGGCAGGAUGACAGGUUGGAGGUCCAGGUGAGAAAGCAGGCUUGAAAACCUAACAGAGGAUUCCUCAUUCUGGAAAUCAGUUCCUGACUAACUUAUUACUGUAUUAAAAGUGUUGUAAUUAA
Molecule: long non-coding RNA, 418 nt
Organism: Phodopus roborovskii (desert hamster)
Lineage: Eukaryota; Metazoa; Chordata; Mammalia; Rodentia; Cricetidae
Exons: 2
Source: RefSeq, a predicted model, not a curated record